Molecule: non-coding RNA, 1213 nt
Organism: Salmo salar (Atlantic salmon)
Lineage: Eukaryota; Metazoa; Chordata; Actinopteri; Salmoniformes; Salmonidae
Source: RefSeq, a predicted model, not a curated record
UCAUCAGAUAUCUGGCGUUAUUGAGAAUGAUUCGCCAUACGUUUGUGCUAUUAGUACAUAAAAACAUUGUGCUUGUUUGUACAUACUUGAUGAGGCACUGGGUCUGAAAAUAAGGAAAAAAAAUUCCGCUAUUACUUAAAAACUACGGCAAGCAGCUGGGACAUAUGGUAACGUUAUGAAACUGGGCUACAUGGCGGAUGCAAUGAACUCGUUUUUAUUUGAAAAAAGCGUUGUUAAGAAUGUGAUGUGUCCAGCCUACUAAGAGGGCAGAUGACAAAUACGGUGCUUGGCUAAAUAAUAAAUACUGUGUGGUACCUUUCUGGAGAGGAUUCCAGAUACAGAAACAGAAUUCCUUUGCCUGCAUAUGUCAUUGUAGCAGAACUGUAUCCCAGUCGUGGAAUUAGACUCAUGAGCUGAAUGGCAGUUUAAUCAUGCCAACACUCCUCCCACAGCUUUACAAGUAUUCCCUGAACAUUACUAUACUGACCAUACUGCAUGUUUCUUUGUGAGUGGCAUUUUAAAUCAUGACCACCAGUUCUCUUAACUACAGUGCAUAUUGUAACCCCAGAUAAUGUGAUUUAACCAAAGAUUUUUGCCAUCCAUUAUUGGGAGUUACACAAUAGAUAAUGUUUGGUGUAGUGCAGAGAAUUUGACCAACCUUAGCGAGGAAAGAGGAGUCUCAAAAUAUCUGUGUCCAGUUGCAAGGGUCAGUUUAAAUUUAGAAAAUGCUCCGUUAUUAAAAUAAAAACAGUUUUUGCUUCAUGAAGUAAUUCAACAAUAUGUAUGCCGCCAUGUUGUCUAUUUCAAGUUCUCUCAUUGAUCGAGACAGUUCUCUAUCAUCAUGACGUGCAGCACUUUGGGGUGGAAACCCACCUGUCUUGAUCAAUGAGAGAAGACUUGAAAUAGACAAGAUGUCAGUUAAAAUCUUUGGGUAAAUCACAUCUGGUGUAACAAUCUGGGGCUACAGUACUCUACACUUGGGUGUACACCUCAGACACACUGAACUUUACUACACUGUUCAUGCUAUAUUAUUUUUGUAUGUUACUUUUACCAUAACAUUUUUGUUGAACACCCAGUUGUCUUGAACUAGCAUUAAAUAGUGUAAACACCCCUGUAUUUUAGAUUGACAAAUUGGAUAUCUGAAUGUCUAGCAUCUGUUUGAUGCUACAGAGCCCUCUACAGCAUAUAUAAAUAUAUUCUGUGAAUCCCUCAA